GUCUACGGCCAUGCCACCUUGAACGUGCUGGAUCUCGUCUGAUCUUGGAAGCUAAGCAGGGUCAUGUCUGGUUAGUACUUGGAUGGGAGUCCACCUUGGAAUACCAUAUGCUGUAGGCA
RNAcentral lists this ribosomal RNA (119 nucleotides) under Pteropus alecto (black flying fox). Lineage: Eukaryota; Metazoa; Chordata; Mammalia; Chiroptera; Pteropodidae. The record is from RNAcentral.